AUUGAACGCUGGCGGCAGGCCUAACACAUGCAAGUCGAGCGGAUGAAGGGAGCUUGCUCCUGGAUUCAGCGGCGGACGGGUGAGUAAUGCCUAGGAAUCUGCCUGGUAGUGGGGUAUAACGUCCGGAAACGGGCGCUAAUACCGCAUACGUCCUGAGGGAGAAAGUGGGUGAUCUUCGGACCUCACGCUAUCAGAUGAGCCUAGGUCGGAUUAGCUAGUUGGUGGGGUAAAGGCCUACCAAGGCGACGAUCCGUAACUGGUCUGAGAGGAUGAUCAGUCACACUGGAACUGAGACACGGUCCAGACUCCUACGGGAGGCAGCAGUGGGGAUUAUUGGACAGUGGGCGAAAGCCUGAUCCAGCCAUGCCGCGUGUGUGAAGAAGGUCUUCGGAUUGUAAAGCACUUUAAGUUGGGAGGAAGGGCAGUAAGUUAAUACCUGGCUGUUUUGACGUUACCAACAGAAUAAGCACCGGCUAACUUCGU
RNAcentral lists this ribosomal RNA (483 nucleotides) under uncultured bacterium. RNAcentral describes it as "partial 16S ribosomal RNA". It matches the Rfam family "Bacterial small subunit ribosomal RNA", at positions 30 to 506 of the family's 1533-position model. The record is from RNAcentral.